RNAcentral lists this ribosomal RNA (253 nucleotides) under uncultured microorganism. RNAcentral describes it as "partial 16S ribosomal RNA". It matches the Rfam family "Bacterial small subunit ribosomal RNA", at positions 524 to 776 of the family's 1533-position model. The record is from RNAcentral.
UACGGAGGGGGCUAGCGUUGUUCGGAAUUACUGGGCGUAAAGCGCACGUAGGCGGACUAUUAAGUCAGGGGUGAAAUCCCGGGGCUCAACCCCGGAACUGCCUCUGAUACUGGUAGUCUUGAGUUCGAGAGAGGUGAGUGGAAUUCCGAGUGUAGAGGUGAAAUUCGUAGAUAUUCGGAGGAACACCAGUGGCGAAGGCGGCUCACUGGCUCGAUACUGACGCUGAGGUGCGAGAGCGUGGGGAGCAAACAGG